This is a long non-coding RNA of Suricata suricatta (meerkat), 664 nucleotides long. RefSeq lists it as uncharacterized. NCBI's taxonomy places the organism in Eukaryota, Metazoa, Chordata, Mammalia, Carnivora, Herpestidae. The record is from RefSeq and is a predicted model, not a curated record. The transcript is spliced from 2 exons.
UGGCUCCAAAGUACUGGAAGAAAUAAAAGAAGGGAUGUCCCUUAGAUCUCAAAGAAAGGAUCCAUGAGACAAAAGACGGUCAUACUUUAUUCAGCCUAGAGUAAAACAAUCUAUAUACAAUUCAACACUAUCAUUAUGUACCAGUAUGUUCCUAGUCCCAGAAGUUACAAGGAGCGCAUAAGGAAAGCAGAGUCUUCAAGAAGACAUCACUAAUGACUGAAGAUGAUCUCUCUUAACCGUGGCAUCCAUCCCCACCAAUGAGUCUUCUAUCAGUCUCUCCCUCAUUGUUGCACUUGUACAAUGGAAGAUGGGGCAUUGUAUAGUGAACUUGCGCAUCUUAAAAAGGAUACAGGGCUUCAUGAAAUAGGUGCAAGUCAGAGGGAAACUGCUUGAAGCCCAAGCCCUUGGCAAAUGAAGACCUGGCAGUCAGGUUAGUUAACAACUAAAUAAGGGAAAAUAGAUGAGGAAGACACCAUUGGUAUAUACUUCAAAAGCGAAAGAUUUGAAUAUCAAAGGAUUAAGAAAGCCCCUUGGGAAAAUCAAUGAAGCUCUUGAAUAUUUCUGCAGAAAUGACCUUCUAUAUCUCACCAUGAAAGUCAAAUGUGAAAGAUGUCUUACUAAGCUAUUAUAGAAUCUUAUCAGAAUAAAUGCACCAAAUAAUCAA